This 606-nucleotide long non-coding RNA is filed under the name Equus caballus (horse). RNAcentral's name for it is "lncRNA (ENSECAG00000044018.1)". Lineage: Eukaryota; Metazoa; Chordata; Mammalia; Perissodactyla; Equidae. The record is from RNAcentral.
GGGCGGCGUCGCGGGUGGGGACGGGCUUCCUCUGCGGGCGGGUCUGCAGCUCCGCUCCCGGCCCCUCGGGCGGCGUCACGGCCAGCAAAGCGCCCGAGGCUCCCUUUCCCCGGUUGUUUCCCGUCACCCGGGCUCUAAACUUCACGGCGGAUCUGUGUUCCAGUGGAUUAGAAGAACGCACCCGGCAGGCUUCAGGGAGCUCCAGAGGCGACUCCAAGUAACGGGUUUAGGGGGCCGGCCCGCGGCCUGGCGGUUAGAGUUCCUGUUCUCCGCUUCAGCCCGUCGUGGAUCCAGACCAUCCGCCUGUCAGCAGCCUGCUGUGAGGACGGCCGCACGGAAGAACUGGAACCGCUGAAACUAGGUUUUCCCACCAGGUGCUCAUGGAUCUUACCUACGACAACCCAUCCUUGCUACCAAUACAGGUGCAGGCGUUCCUUUAUCUAACCCCUUGGGGCCUUGAGCUUAUGCCGUUUCCAGCUGUGUUCCAGGAAGAAGCUCUAAGCAGCAACAGCCCUGGACCCAGUUGCUCUGAAACAGCCCAGACUGGCCCAGACCACAACCACAAGACUGGCACCGGCACAGGCGGGCAGAGCGCCGUGCUAAAGC